GUUGAUAGGCCGGAGGUGUACAGCAGUGAUGCCCAGCCGACCGGUACUAAUAGGCCGAGGGCUUAUCUUU
RNAcentral lists this ribosomal RNA (70 nucleotides) under Nocardioides sp. YR527. RNAcentral describes it as "23S rRNA. Bacterial LSU". The record is from RNAcentral. Lineage: Bacteria; Bacillati; Actinomycetota; Actinomycetes; Propionibacteriales; Nocardioidaceae.